RNAcentral lists this ribosomal RNA (356 nucleotides) under uncultured fungus. RNAcentral describes it as "SSU rRNA". It matches the Rfam family "Eukaryotic small subunit ribosomal RNA", at positions 20 to 370 of the family's 1831-position model. Lineage: Eukaryota; Fungi. The record is from RNAcentral.
GUAGUCAUAUGCUUGUCUCAAAGAUUAAGCCAUGCAUGUCUAAGUACAAGCCUCAAAAUGGUGAAACCGCGAAUGGCUCAUUAAAUCAGUUAUGGUUCCUUAGAUCGUGAAAAGUUACUUGGAUAACUGUGGUAAUUCUAGAGCUAAUACAUGCCUGAAAGCUCUCGCCUUCGGGUGGGAGCGCUUUUAUUAGAUCAAGACCAAUCGGCCAGCAAUGGUCGUCAAUUUGGUGACUCUGGAUAACUUUGAGCUGAUCGCAUGGCCUCGAGCCGGCGACGUAUCUUUCAAAUGUCUGCCCUAUCAACUUUCGAUGGUACGUGAUAUGCCUACCAUGGUUGCAACGGGUAACGGGGAAU